UGGGGUUACAGGUGGCACCCUGGUAACACAGUGAAAAAUAAAACAUUAGAGAAAUGUGAAAGCUUUGAGAAAAAUAAAAAGGGAAAAAUGAAUUGAACCGGAAAAAUGAAGAAUUGAAUCGAAAAAAUGAAGUGAAAAAAAGAAAGAGAUUGAUAAGAUAUGGAAAUUAGGAAAUGGAAAAGAGGGAUUCUGAAAUGGAAAAGGGAAAAGAUGAAUUUGAAUUAGGAGACUAACUGCUCCAUCGCUUUCAUCCAUACAGGUUCUGCCUUCUCUAGACCCUUCACCACCUUCCUCGUUCAACAAAGCAAAUCUUCGCGCAUAAACGACAUCGUUUAGCUUCUUGAUGUUGGGUGUUGCAGU
Molecule: long non-coding RNA, 360 nt
Filed under: Vigna radiata
Lineage: Eukaryota; Viridiplantae; Streptophyta; Magnoliopsida; Fabales; Fabaceae
Description: long non-coding RNA (VRAD_LNC000495)
Source: RNAcentral